UUGUGUGUGUGUAAGUGUGUUACCGACCGAAAACUGUGUAAAUAAUCUAUGUAACUUAAUGUCUGCCCAUUCUUUUUAGCCCUUAUGGUUAUUUUGGGCAGGCAGUACUCUAUUCUAAUUUAAUGUUUAUUGUAAUUAUUUUAUAAAUUGUGAGUACAAAUAAAUGGUUGUUGUUGUUGUUGUUUUUUUAGGGUGGAGUAGUUAGAAACUUGCUGGACACAACAAACGAGCGACCAUGGCUGUGGGUGCUGUUUGUCAUUUUACUACUUGUUUUAAUUGGUGCUCGCUGUUUCCCUGGAAGCAAGAGUGAUGCUGCCAAAAAGAAGAAGACCGAUGAACCAACCGAAGAUGUUGUUCCUGAAGAAGACAAGGAUGAAAAAGUUGGAAUUGGAACUGGCAGUCGGAAUGGGCAACAGUUGUUUUCUUGUAGAGAAGACUUUGCAAAGUUUGUUGAUAUAAAAAAUGUUACACAAGGGGACGACUUUGAUGAGAACCAUAAGGAGUCUUCAUGUACAGGAAAGGAACCACCGGACAAACAGGAUGCUACUAAGGAGAAAAUUCGAAGACGUGGGAGAAAACGAG
Molecule: long non-coding RNA, 582 nt
Organism: Orbicella faveolata
Lineage: Eukaryota; Metazoa; Cnidaria; Anthozoa; Scleractinia; Merulinidae
Source: RefSeq, a predicted model, not a curated record